CCGGAGAAUGUUAUCACGGGAGACACACGGCGGGUGCUAACGUCCGUCGUGAAGAGGGAAACAACCCAGACCGCCAGCUAAGGUCCCAAAGUCAUGGUUAAGUGGGAAACGAUGUGGGAAGGCCCAGACAGCCAGGAUGUUGGCUUAGAAGCAGCCAUCAUUUAAAGAAAGCGUAAUAGCUCACUGGUCGAGUCGGCCUGCGCGGAAGAUGUAACGGGGCUAAACCAUGCACCGAAGCUGCGGCAGCGACACUCAGGUGUUGUUGGGUAGGGGAGCGUUCUGUAAGYCUGYGAAGGUGGCCUGUGAGGGUUGCUGGAGGUAUCAGAAGUGCGAAUGCUGACAUAAGUAACGAUAAAGCGGGUGAAAAGCCCGCUCGCCGGAAGACCAAGGGUUCCUGUCCAACGUUAAUCGGGGCAGGGUGAGUCGACCCCUAAGGCGAGGCCGAAAGGCGUAGUCGAUGGGAAACGGGUUAAUAUUCCCGUACUUGGUGUUACUGCGAAGGGGGGACGGAGAAGGCUAUGUUGGCCGGGCGACGGUUGUCCCGGUUUAAGCGUGUAGGUGUGUGUUCCAGGUAAAUCCGGUUCACUUUAACACUGAGGCGUGAUGACGAGGCACUACGGUGCUGAAGCAACAAAUGCCCUGCUUCCAGGAAAAGCCUCUAAGCAUCAGGUAACAUCAAAUCGUACCCCAAACCGACACAGGUGGUCAGGUAGAGAAUACCAAGGCGCUUGAGAGAACUCGGGUGAAGGAACUAGGCAAAAUGGUGCCGUAACUUCGGGAGAAGGCACGCUGACACGUAGGUGAAGUGAUUUACUCAUGGAGCUGAAGUCAGUCGAAGAUACCAGCUGGCUGCAACUGUUUAUUAAAAACACAGCACUGUGCAAACACGAAAGUGGACGUAUACGGUGUGACGCCUGCCCGGUGCCGGAAGGUUAAUUGAUGGGGUCAGCGCAAGCGAAGCUCCUGAUCGAAGCCCCGGUAAACGGCGGCCGUAACUAUAACGGUCCUAAGG
RNAcentral lists this ribosomal RNA (1012 nucleotides) under Salmonella enterica subsp. enterica serovar Infantis. RNAcentral's name for it is "partial 23S ribosomal RNA". The record is from RNAcentral. Lineage: Bacteria; Pseudomonadati; Pseudomonadota; Gammaproteobacteria; Enterobacterales; Enterobacteriaceae.